GCCAAGCUAGCUGGGGCUUCUGGGAAUUGAAGUCCCAAACACCAGGAGCACCAAAGUUUGGGAACCACUACACUAGGAGGAUUUCAUUGCAUUUCUACAACGUACCUAUGGAUUUGUAAACAUAGACUGUAAUGUAGGACUUCAGCCACCAUCCAUCCCCAUUAGCGCCUAUGGCAUUUCGGCUUACGAAGGCUUUUCGGGUUACGAAAGAGGCCGCGGAACGAAUUAAUUUCGUAACCCGAGGAAGCACUGUAUUUAGGCCCAGUACAAAACUCAAGCAUUACUUCCAAUUCAUUUUAUAGGCAAAAUUCUCUUCCAGUGGUCAUUAUUUUCAGCUGUUUCAAGAAGAACACUUAAAGGGAAACACAGACUCUUUGUUGCCAUAGAAAUCUUACGUCCACGGCCAAAUUGGAUGUUCCUCUUUUUGGGGAUAUUUUUCUUUUGGAAGAAUUGAUUCUGUGGUGGAGAUGUUGGCACCAUCACUGGAUUGACUGGUUGCCAAGAGUGGCUCAAUCCCUUUGUCCCCGAGCCGAGGGACUGGAGUGCCGUGAGGACUGAGGACUAUGGAUACACUUGCAUGUAGAUUCUCAACCGGACCCACCUUUGGCUGCAGCAAGUGUCCGAUAACAAGAAUGGGAAGGUCAUGGACAGGAUUUGGUUCAUCAAAGACCGGCACACAGUCCCGAAGCAUGGCACUAGCCUUUGAGUAUUGAAAGAUCCCUGAUGACCUCUCUCCUUUUUUGGGUCCGGGUUGGCUGCUGUGGGUUUUGCCUUCUGAAAUCCAUCAGUUUCUGAUGGAGAAGGAAGCAUAGGCAAUUGGAAAAGCAGCCUUCUCCCAGGACGCACAAAAUUACAAGCCAUAAUUCUCUGCAGAGAACAGACAACAAUUGUCAUGUCAUCAUAGACUGACAGAAAAGCUUGUAGGAUUUAUAUUCCUACAUCUAGUCUCAUCAAAUGGAAUGGAAACCACUGACCAUUUCUUCCCCAGAAAGAAGGAAGAAAUACAUCUUACCAUAGUGUCAUGUGGAUCACAGUUAUGUCAUAUGGAUCCCAAGGCAUAAGGAUAUCCUCUGCCAUGAAAUUCAAAAAGAUGGCAUGAAACUCAGGGAUCCAUUUGUCUAGCCUCUCUGUCUGGUCCAUGUAAUGUACAAUUACUGCAAGGAAUCUGAUUGCCUUCACCUGAUAAGAGGACAUUCUAGGCUCAAUAAGGGGAAACCUUUUGUGGCUCAUGAGGACAGACCUUGUGAGGGAAUGGUCUUGUUACCUUCAUCUCAAACUCUUUCCUCACCUCAACAGGAAAAGAGCAAGGUCCCCCACGAAUCGUACAAAUGAGUUUAGCACUCCCCACAGUAGGUCAAUACAUUCCCUGCCAAAAGAAAUGGACAAAGAGAGAUUACAUCUUUAUUGGGCUACUACACCCAGAAAGGAGAAGCUCAGGACCCCAGGGAUUUGUGUGAGAGGAGAAGGAGGAGAAACAAUCCAUCUACCCUUUGUCUACUUCCACUAAAUGUUGUAUAAAGAUAUCCAAAUAGUUCUCGGUGACAGUAGUGUCUGGUAUAUUCCAUGCCCUAUUAAAUGAGGAUCCAUACAGUUUGCACAGUCUGUGUAGAUGUGAUUUCAUCUGUCAGGGAACAAAAAAAAAAAGGGGGGGGGAGAAUUAGGUAACUAUUAGGUCUAUGGAAGAGGUGUCUUGGGGUCUUUAAGCACCCUGAGGAGGAAGAUGCCUUCUUGGUGGAGGCAGGCAAGCUAGUGAGCUUUGGUAUUUUUUCAGGGAAAGUGCCUUACCUCCAAUGAUGGUAAGGGAUCAGAACACAUUCAUCUUGGGUACUGUGUGGAGAAACACAAAGAGGCGAGAUUUCGAGUAACAACCAUCAGAUUUUUAUUUAUUUAUUUAUUUAUUAUCUGCCAAUACCCCACAAGGGCGUUCACCCCCUUUGACAUCUCCUUGGAGUCUGACUGUGUGAGACGAUCACUUUGUCUUGUACAGAAAAUUAAGACUUAACUUGUUCUCCCCAAUACGUUUUUUUUCCUCCCAUCUCUAUUUCUGCCAUU
Molecule: long non-coding RNA, 2052 nt
Organism: Sceloporus undulatus (fence lizard)
Lineage: Eukaryota; Metazoa; Chordata; Lepidosauria; Squamata; Phrynosomatidae
Exons: 3
Source: RefSeq, a predicted model, not a curated record